UCCCUGGUAGUAUAUCGGUUAGUACACGCGCCUGUCAUCUUUCAAGUGUGAUGUUUGUGCUCGCGCGAAAGCUGGGUUCGACUCCCAGCCAGGGAG
Non-coding RNA from Marasmius tenuissimus, 96 nucleotides. NCBI's taxonomy places the organism in Eukaryota, Fungi, Basidiomycota, Agaricomycetes, Agaricales, Marasmiaceae. The record is from the annotation of a GenBank genome assembly.